GGAAUAGUCUCCUGAGAAGAGACUGGUCGCCACGGCAGCAUGCCAUAAUGGUCCCAGAACAUUUCAUCAUCUGUAUCCAACCGAGACAUUCAAGAAGAUGCCCCCAAUGUCCCAAGGGAGCUGCAUCAUCUCGAGCUGCAAUGAAACAGUGGACCCAAGUGAUGCAAGGCAGAAGCUGUAGGAGACUGGAGAGACAGUGCCUGGUACCACUCAGAAAGCUCCUUCUGUCAACCCCUGCUGUGCUGUCUGAACUGCAGAAGAGCCUUUUUUAGGCAUGCCUAUCCAAGGACUGCUGGAGGCAGGGGCAUAUUUACUGUAGAACCUCUUGGUGGAUGACCAAGUCUUUACUGUGCCUGCGUGGUGAUUUGGCUUCUCCUUCUUCCCAGUUCCACUUCCUUUAUGUCCUGUCUAUAGACACUGACCCUUAAUAAAUGUCCAGCACACCAGCCUUUACCCAGGUGUCUUCUGGAUAACCCAUCACAGCCACAACCCCUGAGGUUAUUGGUGUUGUUGAGCAAACCAAAAGUGGCUCUGCUGGUGUGGAUCCUGACUUCACCAAUUGCACCUCCACCUUACACUGUAAACUCCUGUUGAAGUGGCUGUGUAUACAGGAAAGGAUGUGAAUGCCCAGAAUGAUCAAACUCUUGCUGUGUUUUUAUAGACCACAAAGCAGAUGAACAGGAUUAAACAUUGGGUUGGUAGAA
Molecule: long non-coding RNA, 704 nt
Organism: Peromyscus eremicus (cactus mouse)
Lineage: Eukaryota; Metazoa; Chordata; Mammalia; Rodentia; Cricetidae
Exons: 3
Source: RefSeq, a predicted model, not a curated record